This 253-nucleotide ribosomal RNA is filed under the name uncultured bacterium. RNAcentral describes it as "partial 16S ribosomal RNA". It matches the Rfam family "Bacterial small subunit ribosomal RNA", at positions 524 to 776 of the family's 1533-position model. The record is from RNAcentral.
UACGGGGGGGGCUAGCGUUGUUCGGAAUUACUGGGCGUAAAGGGCGCGUAGGCGGUCUGCUAAGUUGGGUGUGAAAACUCUGGGCUUAACCCAGAGCCUGCAUUCAAAACUGACAGGCUAGAGUUCUGGAGGGGAUAGCGGAAUUCCUGGUGUAGCGGUGAAAUGCGUAGAUAUCAGGAGGAACACCGGUGGCGAAGGCGGCUAUCUGGACAGAGUCUGACGCUGAGGCGCGAAAGCUAGGGGAGCAAACAGG